AUAGCCUACGGGGGGCAGCAGUAGGGAAUUUUCGGCAAUGGGGGGAACCCUGACCGAGCAACGCCGCGUGAACGAAGAAGUUAUUCGUAAUGUAAAGUUCUUUUAUCAGGGAAGAAAGAGGAAUUUGACGGUACCUGAGGAAUAAGCUCCGGCUAACUACGUGCCAGCAGCCGCGGUAAUACGUAGGGAGCGAGCGUUAUCCGGAUUUACUGGGUGUAAAGGGAGCGUAGACGGCCAGACAAGUCUGAAGUGAAAAUCCAGCGCUUAACGUUGGAAGUGCUCUGGAAACUGCCGGGCUAGAGUGC
Molecule: ribosomal RNA, 305 nt
Filed under: uncultured bacterium
Lineage: Bacteria
Description: bacterial SSU rRNA
Rfam family: Bacterial small subunit ribosomal RNA
Source: RNAcentral